RNAcentral lists this transfer RNA (73 nucleotides) under Merluccius polli (Benguela hake). It matches the Rfam family "tRNA". Rfam says of the family: Transfer RNA (tRNA) molecules are approximately 80 nucleotides in length. Their secondary structure includes four short double-helical elements and three loops (D, anti-codon, and T loops). The record is from Rfam by way of RNAcentral. Lineage: Eukaryota; Metazoa; Chordata; Actinopteri; Gadiformes; Merlucciidae.
GCCGAAAUAGCUCAGUUGGGAGAGCGUUAGACUGAAGAUCUAAAGGUCCCUGGUUCGAUCCCCGGGUUCAGCA